Molecule: long non-coding RNA, 170 nt
Organism: Wasmannia auropunctata (little fire ant)
Lineage: Eukaryota; Metazoa; Arthropoda; Insecta; Hymenoptera; Formicidae
Exons: 2
Source: RefSeq, a predicted model, not a curated record
UUUUCGACGAUCUCCAAAAUCAGACCGUAUCCCGUAUCUUUUCACAUACCGAAUCUAUCGCGAGAAGUAUCGACGAUAUAACGCAAUGUCAAUUACAGGCGGCAGGGAGAAGCUGAAACAGAAAUAUAACAUGAUUAACGAAAAAUUAUAAUUUUCAGAAGAAGGACACU